AUACAAAGAAGACCAACAGAUCCAGGGACAAAGGCGUCCAAAUAAGACCUGAGCAGAGCAGAAGGCUGAAAGUGCAGCCUUCAGAAGUCCAAGCAGAAUAUUCAUAAUUGGGAAAAGUUUCCCAACCUCUGCAAUCAACAAAAAGAAAUCUCUGACCUUGUGAACUCACAUUCUAUUACAGAGACAAACGAUUUUCAAACUGAGACUUGGGAAAUCUCAUCAGUUUGCUCAAGUGGGAACUGGAACAAAGUCUUCCUGCCUCCAUCUCCAGGCUUUCUCCCUACAUCGUGAUUAUCUGUGUUG
Sciurus carolinensis (gray squirrel) is the source of this 303-nucleotide long non-coding RNA. RefSeq lists it as uncharacterized. The transcript has 3 exons. NCBI's taxonomy places the organism in Eukaryota, Metazoa, Chordata, Mammalia, Rodentia, Sciuridae. The record is from RefSeq and is a predicted model, not a curated record.